This 76-nucleotide transfer RNA is filed under the name Elusimicrobia bacterium ADurb.Bin231. RNAcentral describes it as "tRNA-Met". It matches the Rfam family "tRNA". Rfam says of the family: Transfer RNA (tRNA) molecules are approximately 80 nucleotides in length. Lineage: Bacteria; Pseudomonadati; Elusimicrobiota. The record is from RNAcentral.
UGGGCCCUUAGCUCAGUUGGUCAGAGCAGAUGACUCAUAAUCAUCGGGUCGGGGGUUCAAGUCCCUCAGGGCCCAU